GUAACGGGAGCAGAGUCGGCGGGGUGCGUUCCUUAGUCUUUCAUUCAUCAGCGUAAAAAGAACUGAGUUUAGGUCGCAGGUCCCCUCCAGGGCAGGCAUUAUCGUGUGCGCUGCAGUAACCUCUCAUCUUGUGGAGUCCUACACUUAGCGCAUGUUGCUCCGGCGCGCUGCGUAAAGCUGAGGAGCCUGAGGCCCGAGGUCCGAUGCUCGCCUGGCUGGCCUAUGGCUGCGGGAGCGGUGUGUGUCGGACCGUAGGACGGCCUCACGGCUAGAGUUUGAGG
RNAcentral lists this long non-coding RNA (281 nucleotides) under Homo sapiens (human). RNAcentral describes it as "long non-coding RNA NONHSAT191429". Lineage: Eukaryota; Metazoa; Chordata; Mammalia; Primates; Hominidae. The record is from RNAcentral.